CCCUUAGAUGUUCUGGGCUGCACGCGCGCUACAAUGGUCUUCGCAAACGGAUGCAUUCUCGAAGGAGAAUGCCAAUCUUGGAAUCUAUGCCUUGGUCGGGACAGUUGCUUGCAAUUUUUCGACUCGAACCAGGAAUUCCUUGUAAUCGUGAUUCAUCACAUCACGAUGAAUACGUCCCUGCCCUUUGUACACACCGCCCGUCGCUCCUACCGAUCGAAGAGUUAGGUGAAUUGUUUUGAUCGAUAAGAUUUGACUAUGGUCAACUCUCGUUGGGAAAUUCUGUGAAUCUGACUGUUUAGAGGAAGGAAAAGUCGUAACA
RNAcentral lists this ribosomal RNA (319 nucleotides) under uncultured eukaryote. RNAcentral describes it as "partial 18S ribosomal RNA". It matches the Rfam family "Eukaryotic small subunit ribosomal RNA", at positions 1470 to 1796 of the family's 1831-position model. The record is from RNAcentral.